This 4595-nucleotide long non-coding RNA is filed under the name Canis lupus familiaris (dog). Its description in RNAcentral is "lncRNA (ENSCAFG00000051839.1)". Lineage: Eukaryota; Metazoa; Chordata; Mammalia; Carnivora; Canidae. The record is from RNAcentral.
CGCUCCGCCCCUUCUCGAGGGAGCCCCGCCCCCCGUCGAGGUCCCUCGGGGCGAGGGUGGCGCCUACGCUCUCCGAGGCUGGAAGUCCAAAAUCAAGGUAUCAGCAAGUCCGUGUUCCUUCUGAAACCUGUAGAUUAUGAAAGAAACGACUCUACCUUGUUACUUUUGAUAGGAAACUGUAAACUCUAGAGUGUUCUCUUAUCCUGUACACUCAUCUGAUCUGUGUCCAUGACUCCUGAUUAAAAAUACAACUUUCACUUGAAGAGCUGCACCAGUUUGCAAAGAAGGCUUCCCUUCCUCCACAUCCUUGCCAACACCUGUUGUUUCUUGCAGCGUUAUCUACAAUAGCCAAGAUAUGGAAGUAGCCCAAGUGUCCCACCAACUAAUGAAUGGGUAAAGAAGAUGUGAUGUAUAUAUAUAUAUACAUACACACACACAACGGAAUAUUGUUCGUCCAUAAAAAAGAACACUGUGUUAACUAACUGGAAUUUAAAACUUAAAGAAGUUGUCAGGAAAGGCCUCUGAGGAAUAACAUCAGAGCAGAAAGCUGAAGGGAGUGGUGAGUCAGCCGUGUGGAUAUCAGAGAAGAUGACCUGUGCCAAGGGCCUGGAGCGAGAAGGUGUUUGGCACAUCCAAGAAGUAGUACGAAGGUCUCUGGCUGGAGUGACCUGGGCAGUGAGGAGAGUUUUGCGACCAGAUCCCAGAGCAGGGCAUGGACAUAAUAGAAGACCUUUGGCUUUGAAGGCUUUGGAGCACUAGGUGAAGUGAGCCACCAUAUGCUUUACAAGUGGUUGCUGUGGCUGUCAUGUGUAGGUCAGCCUGAAAGGAAGAAGUCUGGUGGGACUGGGAGAGACCAGUGAGGAGACCAUUACAGUAGUCUAGGUGAGUGAUGACAGGGGCAGCCAGCGGGUGGCAGGGAUGUCCGGGCCAGCAGUUUGUAGUGGAUCGUGUGUGGUGAGUCAAAGGAAGGGAAAAGUUGAGCAUGGCCUCGCAGAUUUUGUCCUGAACAACUGGAUGAAGUUGCCAUUUUACUGAGAUGCAGAAGAUUUCAGAGGGAAGAAUACUGGGGAGAAAAAUCAGGUGUUUUUGUUUUAACUUUAUACAUGUUGAUGUAUUACACACCUACAGAAAAGUAACAAAUCAUGAUUGUACGACGCAAUGAAUUCUUACCAAGCAAGCAAGUCCAAGUCUCCCACCACAGGUAUAAACAAUAUCCUAACUUUGAACACCAUGUUCAUACAUGUGUUUUGCUAGUUUUUGAAAUUAAUGUAAGUGGAAAUAUAUGCUGUGUAUUCCCUCUGGCUUCUUUGGGUCAUCAUUUUAUUUGAGACAUUCACUCACGUUGUUACACGCGGUCGCUGUGCACUAUUCCACUGUAUGAAUACGCCACUGUUGAUUUGUUCAUUCUGUAGUUGAUAGUAUGAUUUAUCAAAUACUUCCUUUAGAGUUGUUACUUUUUAUAUCCUGUGUAAGAAACAUUUGUCUACCUCCAGAUCAUGGAGAUUGUCUCUUGUGUUUUCUUUUUCUUUUCUUUUUUUUAAGAUUGUAUGUAUUUAUUCAUGAGAGACACAGAGAGAGGCAGAGACAUAGGCAGAGGGAGAAGCAGGCUCCCCGUGGGGAGCCCAGUGUGGGACUCCAUCUUGGUACCCAGGAUCACAACCUGAGCCAAAGGCAGAUGUUCAACCCCUGAGCCACUAGGUGCCCCUCUCGAGUUUUCUUCUUAAUAUUUUCCCUGGAUUUUUCUGCUUUUUACUUUAACCUUUUGCAAUUGGUGGUACAGUCCACCAAGAAUUGAUACUUGUGUGUGGUAUGUAGAGGUCAAGAUUGAUUUUUUUGAAAAUAUUUAUAGCCAAUUGACCCAGUUCCAUUUAUUGAAAAGUCCAUUCUUUCUCUACUACAGUGUCCUUUUUUUUCAUAAAUCAUGUGUAUGGGUCUGUUUCUGGACUUUCUAUGAUGUGUCAUCCGUCUGUCGGUCCUUGCACUAAUCCCGCAUUGUCUUAAUUAUUAUAGCUUUAAAAUGGAGCUUAAUUUCUGGUAGCAGAACUUCUCGGCCUUCUUCCUUUUCUAGACUGCCUUGGAUAUUCUCAGCCCCUUUGGAUUUCCAUAUAAAAUUUAGAAUCAGCCUGGGGCACCUGGGUGGCUCCAUCAGUUAAGCAUCUGCCUUUGGCUUAGGUUGUGAUCCCAGGGUCCUGGGGUCGAGUCCCACAUUGGACUCCAUGCUCUGCUAGGAGCCUGCUUCUCCCUCUCUCUCUGCCUGCCACUCCCCCUGCUUAUGCUUGUGCACGCGCUCUCUCUCUCUUUCAGAUAAAUAAAUAAAAUCUUAAAAUUUAGAAUCAGCCUGUUAAGUUCAAUCCAACUACCCUCCCCAAACCCCUUCUAGGGCUUUUUAUGUAAUUUGCACACACUAAACUGUGUACAUUUUAAGGGUACAGUUUAAGGAAUUUUGACAAAUGGAUGGACUUCUGUAAUCAACACUCCAUUCUAGAUAGAGAAGGGUUCCAUCACCCCAGAAAGCUCUGUCUUGCCCCUUUCAACUCAAUUCCCUUUUCUUCCCAGAGACAGCCACUCUUUUGAUUUGCAUUGUUUUUGACUAUCCUAGGACUUCAUAAAAAUGGAAUCACAGUAUGGCCUCAUUGGUACUUGACUACUUUUGCUCAACAUAAUGUUUCUGAUAAUCUUUCGUGUUGCGUACCUCAUUUCAGUCCUCCUUGUUGUUAUAGAGUAUUCCAUUGUAUGACUCUGUCACAACUUGUCUAUCCAUUCAGCUGCUGAUAACCACUUGGGUUUCUUCCAUUUGGGGGCUGCUAUGAUUAAGGCAACCAUGAGCAUUCUUAUAUGAGUCUCUGUAGUCCUCUCUUUUCCUUUCUCAUCAGCAAAUACUUAGACAUAGGAUUGGAUGGGUGUAUGUCAGGUUUUAUGAGAAACUGCUGAACAGUUUCCCAAAGUGAUUGUUUCAUUCUACACUCCCACCAACAAAGUACAAUAAUUCUGGUUCUGUAUACUCACCAGCAUUUGGUGUGGCCCAUCUUUUUAAUGUAGCCAUUCUAAAUGUGAGAAGGGUUUCUUCAUUUUGAUUGUAGUUUGCAUUCCCAGAUGCAAAUUACCAUGAAUAUCUUCUAGGAUGCACUUGCCUUCUCACUUUCUUAGUGGUAUCUUGAAGAGCAGAAAGCUUUAAUUUUGACAGAUUCUUAUUUAUUAACUUUUUCUCUUAUGGUUAGUGCUUUUUUUUUUUUUUUAAAGAUUUUAUGUAUUCAUGAGAUGUACUCAGAAAGAGACAGAGACACAGGCAGAGGAAGAAGCAGGCUCCCUCUGGGGAGCCCAAUGCAGGACUCAAUCCGAGGACCCCGGGUUCACAAUCUGAACCAAAGGCAGAUGCUCAACUACUGAGCUACCCAGGCAUCCUGUGCUUUUCAUGUCUUAAGAAAUCUUUGCAUGACUCAAGAUCAGAGGUACUCUCCAAUGUACAAAGUUUUAUCAUUUUAUGUCUAGGUUUAUGAUCCAUUUUAAAUUAAUUUUUGAGUAUGGUUUAAGGUAAUUGUUGAGGGCUUGUUUUUCUACAUAUUUGUUUCAGUACCAUAUUUUGAAAAUACUGUUCUUUGCCAUUACCUUGGCAUCCUUUCCUGAAAAUCAGUUGACCAUGUAUGUCAAGGUCUUUUCUCUCCAUGUAUUUAUGAUUCUGUCCAUUAAUCUGUUUGUAUAUAUGCGGAAACCAUACAGUCUUACUUACUGUAGCUUUAAAGUAAAUUUUGAAGUCAGCGUCUUCAAGUUUGUUUUGACUUUUCUAGAUUCUUUUCAUUGACAAAUAAGUUUUAGAUGUAACUUGUCAGUUUCUGAUAAAAAGUCUGCAAAGAAUUUUUUUCCUGCCAAUACUUUGGUUGCAAUUGUGUCGACUCUAUAGGUAAGUUUGGGGAGAAUUAAUGUCUUAACAAUAUUAAGUAUCACAUCCAUGAACAUAGUAUCUCUCCCAAUUUAUGCCUUACUUUUUCUCAGAUGUGUUUUGAGGCUUUCAAUGUAGAAGUCUUCUCUCUUGUUUUUUCAACAACUUUACUUAGUUAUAUUUUACAUAUUAUAAACUGUGCCCAUUUUAACUAGAUAGUGCAAUGUGUCUUAGUUGAUUAUUUUAUGUUUAUCGAUGUAAUGGUAAGCAGAACUGGGUUUAUUUUCCAAUGUUUGUUGCUAGUUUAUAGAAAUACAAUUGUAUUUACAUUCGGUUAUGAUGUCUCUUAAAAUUCUUUUAUUCUUGAAAAGUCCCUAGCCUCUAUUUUUUUCUUUAUAAUAUUGGCUUGUUUACACAUAUGACUAAAUUAAGAUUAUAUUAAGAUAAAAAUUCAGAUCCUCAGGCACAUUGUAUUUUGAUUGCUCAAUAGCCACAUGUGUCUAGUGGCUGCUGUAUUGGAUACCACAGAUUUUUCAUAUUUCACAGAGUUGUAUUGAAAAGCUCCAUGUGGAGUGGUUGGGUGGCCCCACCUUCUAGAUUCACCUUAUCAUUUUCUCAUGAUGUUGUGUAACUUGUUCUAAUAAUCUGUAUUUGCGGUAAAUUGAAACUGAUACACAUACAUUUAAAAGCUUAAUUAAAUGCAGAUUCAACUUUUCAG